CGGACGGGGUGAGUAAUGUCUGGGAAACUGCCCGAUGGAGGGGGAUAACUACUGGAAACGGUAGCUAAUACCGCAUAACGUCGCAAGACCAAAGAGGGGGACCUUAGGGCCUCUUGCCAUCGGAUGUGCCCAGAUGGGAUUAGCUAGUAGGUGGGGUAAUGGCUCACCUAGGCGACGAUCCCUAGCUGGUCUGAGAGGAUGACCAGCCACACUGGAACUGAGACACGGUCCAG
Molecule: ribosomal RNA, 233 nt
Filed under: uncultured bacterium
Lineage: Bacteria
Description: partial 16S ribosomal RNA
Rfam family: Bacterial small subunit ribosomal RNA
Source: RNAcentral